Molecule: ribosomal RNA, 254 nt
Filed under: uncultured bacterium
Lineage: Bacteria
Description: partial 16S ribosomal RNA
Rfam family: Bacterial small subunit ribosomal RNA
Source: RNAcentral
UACGUAGGGGGCGAGCGUUGUCCGGAUUUAUUGGGCGUAAAAGGCUUGUAGGUGGCCACGCCAAGUCGGAUGUGAAAUCUCCCGGCUCAACUGGGAGGGGUCAUUCGAUACUGGCGGGCUCGAGGCCGGUAGGGGGAAGCGGAAUUCCCGGUGUAGUGGUGGAAUGCGUAGAUAUCGGGAAGAACAUCAGUGGCGAAGGCGGCCUGCUGGGCUGUUGCUGACGCUGAGGCGCGACAGCGUGGGGAGCAAACAGG